GCAGUCUUCGUAUAGUGGUUAUUACGGCUCGUUGUGGAUUUGGCCAAAGCGGCUGAUGGGCUUGGGCCGAGCAAACGGAUGUUCGAUUCCUCCAGACUGCU
Molecule: transfer RNA, 101 nt
Filed under: Sporisorium scitamineum
Lineage: Eukaryota; Fungi; Basidiomycota; Ustilaginomycetes; Ustilaginales; Ustilaginaceae
Description: transfer RNA-His(GTG)
Rfam family: tRNA
About the family: Transfer RNA (tRNA) molecules are approximately 80 nucleotides in length. Their secondary structure includes four short double-helical elements and three loops (D, anti-codon, and T loops).
Source: RNAcentral